GAUUGAUAAUAAUUUUUCUCUUCCCUUGCUCCAUUCAUUCUUCUUCAAUCUUAUCCAUGUACAAAAACCUAGAAAAUAAAAAACCCAAAACCAGCCUUCAUCUUUGUCCAUUGCUGGUCAUGAAUUGAUAAUGAUUCUUCUCUUCUCUUGCUCAGUCUCACCCAUUCACUCCUCUUUCUAUCUCACCCAUGUACAAAAGUCCAGAAAAUAAAUAUUUCAAAGCCACGCUUCAUCUGUUGCCUUCAUCACUAUCCAUUGCCGGCCAUGAAUACAGAACACCAACAUUCAUCCUCUCCCUCUUCUCUUCAUUGAUAUCAUACUCGUUGUAAUCUGAUGGUGGGAGGCAAUUCUGAAAUGGAGAGCUGUAUAGAUGCAAAUUCUAGUGCCGUUUCAUGUUGUGAUGAGUCUGUUCAUGGGACGGUGAGCGUUGGUGAUCCCAUAAAAGACAGUGGAGAACUUGAUGUUGAAUUUCUCAAUGAAUUUGAUUUAUAUGUGGAAGACAUCAAGGAUGGAUUGGUCGUUUCUAGGAUGGUGAAUGACUCGAUCAUCAGGGGCAUGGUCAAUGCUGUUGAGCAAGAGGCAGCUGAUAGGAUUGCUCAGAAAGAGUUGGAAUUAGUGAGGUUGAAGGAAAUGUUAAAAUCUUACCAUGUUGGUUCAGAUGAAAACCAACUCUUGAGACCUUUAACGAAGAACAAUGAUCCGAAUAUUGGAAAAUUAAGUGCAUUUUCAAGGUUGUCGGAUGCUUUAACUGACCAUGACAAGAUACUAGAAUCUUUUGGCAGACUUAAAAGUGCAGCUAAAGGGCAGCUUAAGAAUCUCAGGAUAGAUAUUGGCCAAAUCAGAGGGCAUGGUUCUAUUAAGAAGAUUAAUUCGGUUUCUGAGUUGGUGGGAUUGGGUGGUAUUUUGCAAGAGGACGAAUUGAAGAAACGGAUUGGAGCAGAGAAAACACUUGAUUCCUUAAGUGAAACUCUGGAAUCUGUUUUUGAGCAAGUGGGCAAUAUUGUUUACUCAUCCAAGGUUUCACACUGUCAAUGGCAACAGGAGCAAGAAUAUCAGGAAGAAGUUGAACGUAUGGUAAUAACAAUCUGCAUCCGCGGUUUAGAGGAACAGCUUGAGAAAACACUUUGGGAUCAAAAUGCUCAAUGGUAUGGUAAUGAAGAUGUAUGUUGGUUUGAGAAGAUCAAUGAGAUUUCCUUCUUGCGUCAGGAGUUAGAUGCCAUUUCAAAAUCACUGUCCAAUCCUGAAUCCGGAGUGCUGCAUUCUCAUAGUUCAUUGGAGAUCAAUGGUGACGUGAGUAAUGAUAAAAGGACUGAUCAUUUGCAUCAAAAGGUUCUAGGAAAUCAUGUUUCAUCAUCAGUUUCACUUUGGGAAGGAAAUGGCAAGGACGGAGAGUUGGUAAUUCCUGUGCCAGAAAAUUUGGAUCCUCAACAACUAAUACACAUGAAAAAGGAUGAAUUGGUGAACUUUUUCAAGGUUGAGAUGACAAAAAUGAAGAGGAACCAUGACUAUAAACUACAAGAGAUGACUGAAAAAUAUUUUAGUCUCAAGCGGGAGUACUUGAAAGAGAGGGGUUCUUCUCUUCCAUCUAGGAAAGAUAAGGAGUUUGAUGUCUUGAGGAAAAAGAUCCCAGAUGUCAUACUGAAAUUGGAUAGGAUUCUUGUGGAAAAUGAAAAAGUUCCGUUAUUAAGUAAUAAUAAUGAUAAUCUCAGCAUCUUGAAGGACAGAUUAGAAUCUCUACUUUCAGAAAAUCGUCAACUGAGAGACGCACUCUCUGAUAGAAAAAAGGAAGUUAACCAGCUUUCUUCACAACUUUCUGAUGCCAUAAUGAAUAUCUCAGAGCAGUCUCUUGUUGAGGAAAACUUACUUAGAAGGGUAGAAAGCCUCGAGUCCGUGGUUGAGGAUGCACAUAUUGAAGCUACCAUUAGUUGGGAUGUAUAUAAUUUCUUGUUCAGGGGGGCAAUCAGCCAGGUAAAGUGCAUGGCUGAAGAUUCAGAGAUGGAGCAAAAUAUCAUGAAAGAAAUUUAUGACCUUAUAUUAAAAGAUGCUUCUUGCAAUAUGUCACAUGCCAGAAAGAGUGGAUUUGAAGAUUCUGAUUUGGAAUCUUUAGCUAUGGAAGGGCUAUGUGCAAUCAUAUUCAGAGAAGCCUUCACAGAAGCCAGGGAGAAACUCCAUGACUUAAGUAUGGAUGCGAUUGAGAAGGAAAGGGUGCUAAAGAUGGAAGUUGCAGAGAAGGAAAAUUUGCAGGAACAAGUGCUCCUAGUGACAUCUACAGUUAACGAAAAGGAGAAGUUACUUAAUGAAACAGCGGCUGCAUUGGCAAGAGAAAAGGAGAAAUUGAUGGCAGCUUCUCAAGAGCUUGAUAGUGCAAGGGGUUGGACAAACCAGCAUCGAAUGAUAAUUUCUAAGUGCAAUGAAGAAUCCAGUGUUCUGAAAACUAAUCUCCUUCAAGCAUCAGAGGAACUUGAGCAACACAAAGUGGAGAUAUGUGGAUUGAAAACGAAACUUGACCAAGCCAUGAAGGAGUUGAGAGAAAGUAAUGGUGAGAGAAGCAGGCUUCUUGUUGCUGCCAAAGAGAAUGAUAAUAUUUUAUCAUUAGUUAAAGCAAAUGAAAACGAGCACAGAAAACAGAUGGAAUCAAUAAUUAUUCUUGUGGAAGGACUGUCCAAGGGAGUUGCUGCUUUUGAAAGUCGAGUAGGAGAACAUAUGGAGAGGAGUAGUCUAAGGUUGGAAAGUUUAAGCUCCCAAUCCAGUUCUCUAAUUCAGAUGGUAAAUAAAUUGAAAAGAAAGGGAUUGCAAUAUAAGCAAAGUCUUGAAAGGAGACGCUCUGACCUUGAAAAAGCUGAAACUGAGGUCGAUCUCUUGGGUGAUGAGGUGGAAGUACUUCUAGGCCUUCUCGAGAAAAUAUACAUUGCACUUGAUCAUUAUUCCCCAAUAUUGAAACAUUAUCCUGGAAUUAUGGAGAUACUGAAGCUGGUUAGAAGAGAAUUGAGUGGAGAAUGUAACAAGUCACUUUGAUUUAUCCUUCAUUAGGUAUCUGUGUUUGAUGCAUUAUUUGGAUAUUGGUAUGAGGAUAUGAUCUUCCAAGGAUCCUUCAAAUGAAUGUUGAUUCUUUUUCACCCCCAUUCAGCAUGAGGGUAGAAAUGGUCGCACGGACAAAAUUUUCCACUGCUGAUACAAUCAAGAACAGGUUUAUGUGCAGGUGAACCCGGAAAAAUACACCCUUAUCCCUGUUGAUUAUGUUAUUCUCUCUGUAUAGAAACUUAGAAGAUAGCAUGUAAAAAUCGUGGCGAUGGUAUCAUCGGGACUAGUUUACUUAGAUUUGUAGGUAUUUUGAUGAUACUUUCUUUUGGCAUGAACUCAUGAAUUGUUUCUAGCUUUUAAAAUGAACCACACAGAUUAGCUCUUUGUUUCUAACGAUAGUUAUUUUAAGUUUUACAUGCGUUUUUCUGGCAA
RNA transcript from Gossypium raimondii (Peruvian cotton), 3453 nucleotides. It is a transcript of the gene named WPP domain-associated protein, with no coding region annotated. The transcript has 7 exons. Lineage: Eukaryota; Viridiplantae; Streptophyta; Magnoliopsida; Malvales; Malvaceae. The record is from RefSeq and is a predicted model, not a curated record.